RNAcentral lists this long non-coding RNA (790 nucleotides) under Danio rerio (zebrafish). Its description in RNAcentral is "lncRNA (ENSDARG00000117387.1)". Lineage: Eukaryota; Metazoa; Chordata; Actinopteri; Cypriniformes; Danionidae. The record is from RNAcentral.
UUGAAAAUAAGGUUAACUUUUAAUACAAACAUUACUUUUUUUUAGAUCCAUACACAUCUCUGAAAUUGAAGAUGGACGCCUGGUUUCAAGUCGGGUAGUGGUGAUACGCUUUGUUGAGUGUGAGGCAAAUGUGGCCAACAUUAUAGAAAAAGUCAAUUUGGCAAUGGGCAAUGAAGAGUCCUAUAUCCUUACUAACACCCAGGGAAACGAAAUCUUGCAUUCUGAGGGCACAACUGGUUCAUGCUACUGGAGACAAAAUUCCAGAAAGGUCCAUGCAGUGGAAAGGACUGCAUUUAGACAGUGGCAGCAAACCAGGAGUCGCAGAGAUGCUGUAAGCUCUAUUCAAAGCUUAAAAAACCAAAUCGAGGAGCUGAUGGAAGCCUCUCAUGGCCUGGAAAACGUUUCCAGACAAAUUCAAGAAAUUGUGACAAACACGGAGGGAGCAGCACAGAGAGUGAAUGUUAUGACAGUUUUAAAGGAGACUUUCAUGUGCUUAAUUUGCCGAGCAAUCAUGGAACAACCAGUCUUCACGACAUGCUGCAGGACUGUGGUGGGGUGCAAGAUUUGUUUGGAACAGUGGAGGGAAAAUUCGACCCAGUGCCCAAAAUGUAGAGCGGAAGAUUUUGUAAUAUUAGAUGUUACAGGCCUAUCCCCUCUCCUGGAAACCACCAAAAAUUUGGUGUAAUUUGUUUAUCUGCAAGUUAAAGGAUAAAUGUUCAAUGGAGUUUCGUUUACAGAUUGAUUGUAAAAAUUCUGUUUAAUAUAUUUGUUUAUACUAUGUUAUGUGGAC